AUGCUGAGGCAUGCGAUUGGCGGCGGAGGGGAGGGGUUACUUGCUCAGAGCGCAGACUGGGAGCUCAGGGGCAGGAUUCCCACCAAGGCCUUGGCUCCGGAAUCCGCAACUCUUUGCUCGUCUGUGAGAUGGGCCUCAAAGGACACGGUACUCACCCGGAGGGUGGGCCCAGGACUGAACGCCUGGGGGUGCUUGGGACUGCUCGUGACUACGAUGGUGACUGCUGCGGGGCAGGAGGAGGGUCCGGGCUGGUUCCCGAGAGGUGUUCGGGGUCUGUUCUUAGGAUGUGUGCUCUUUGCAAAUGAUCCCCAAGGGGGUUAUGAAACCCCAAGGGGAACGUGCCAAGCCCUGGCCGACCGGGUGGGCAAGAAUGGGGCCAGGCUGGGAGGUCUGGCGUCGGACACGUGCUCGGGGGAGAACCCAGGGGCCUGGCAAGCUUGGAAAAGGUCCUGCAAAAAGGAGCCCGUGUGGGCCACAUGAUGCCCGGAGGUGGUGGGAAUUUCUGCAGCAGGUGGCUCCAGAGCGUCCUGAAGAACUGACCUAGGAGGACCCCCGCCCCUACCACGCCCCAAGCUGGGGAGUGGGCAGACCCCUGGGCCCCACGCCCACCAAGUAGGGAGCCCUCCGGGGCCUCUCCGAGCCUCCGUCCUCAGCCGUCCUGGUGGCUUGUGUCCUGAACUUGUGAGGCUGGGCUGGGUGUCCGGGGUGAUGUUGGAGCCAGCUCAGAGCCUGACCCCACGUAGCUGCUGUGCAAUCGCAUCCCCCCGUCGUCCCCGAGACCCCAGCUCCAGGCCCGGCUGGAGGCCCGCGAGUCCUGGGAGGUCCUCUCGAGAGAGUUCAGAGCCCCGAUCUCAGCUAGGGACCAGUGCGGGUUCUCAGGCAGCACUGCCCCCCCGGGGCACCACGCCUGAGGCUGGAGGGCACAGAGGUAGGAAGGGAUGUGCCCAGCCUGCCGCCCAGGGCGCAAACACAGGCGGGGCCACUGGCAGGGUCCCCCGGCUUCGUAGGGCUCCAGGGCAGAUCUGAAGGAGACAGGAUGCCGCCCCGGCUCCUCCAGGGCUGGNNGCCCUCCUGCUGGCUUCAUUUAGCCCAGCCAGCCCCGGCUGGGGACACCCUGCCCCGAGCCCAGGGCCGCCGUGGGGAGGCUUGGUGCCACGUCGGGAGCAGUGCCUUCCUGGGACUGUCAGCCAGGCUGCAGGGGGGCAGCGGUUAAGCCAUGAGUGCCCGCCCCUCACUGGCCAGGCCUCAAGUCCCAACCCUCCACCCCUGGCUCAGUUCAGUUCAAUUCAGUCGCGUCUGACUCUUUGCGACCCCAUGAAUCGCAGCACGCCAGGC
RNAcentral lists this long non-coding RNA (1335 nucleotides) under Capra hircus (goat). RNAcentral's name for it is "lncRNA (ENSCHIG00010029236.1)". The record is from RNAcentral. Lineage: Eukaryota; Metazoa; Chordata; Mammalia; Artiodactyla; Bovidae.